This 2902-nucleotide ribosomal RNA is filed under the name Escherichia coli DEC11D. RNAcentral describes it as "bacterial LSU rRNA". It matches the Rfam family "Bacterial large subunit ribosomal RNA". Lineage: Bacteria; Pseudomonadati; Pseudomonadota; Gammaproteobacteria; Enterobacterales; Enterobacteriaceae. The record is from RNAcentral.
UAAGCGACUAAGCGUACACGGUGGAUGCCCUGGCAGUCAGAGGCGAUGAAGGACGUGCUAAUCUGCGAUAAGCGUCGGUAAGGUGAUAUGAACCGUUAUAACCGGCGAUUUCCGAAUGGGGAAACCCAGUGUGAUUCGUCACACUAUCAUUAACUGAAUCCAUAGGUUAAUGAGGCGAACCGGGGGAACUGAAACAUCUAAGUACCCCGAGGAAAAGAAAUCAACCGAGAUUCCCCCAGUAGCGGCGAGCGAACGGGGAGCAGCCCAGAGCCUGAAUCAGUGUGUGUGUUAGUGGAAGCGUCUGGAAAGGCGCGCGAUACAGGGUGACAGCCCCGUACACAAAAAUGCACAUGCUGUGAGCUCGAUGAGUAGGGCGGGACACGUGGUAUCCUGUCUGAAUAUGGGGGGACCAUCCUCCAAGGCUAAAUACUCCUGACUGACCGAUAGUGAACCAGUACCGUGAGGGAAAGGCGAAAAGAACCCCGGCGAGGGGAGUGAAAAAGAACCUGAAACCGUGUACGUACAAGCAGUGGGAGCACAGAGCAAUCUGUGUGACUGCGUACCUUUUGUAUAAUGGGUCAGCGACUUAUAUUCUGUAGCAAGGUUAACCGAAUAGGGGAGCCGAAGGGAAACCGAGUCUUAACUGGGCGUUAAGUUGCAGGGUAUAGACCCGAAACCCGGUGAUCUAGCCAUGGGCAGGUUGAAGGUUGGGUAACACUAACUGGAGGACCGAACCGACUAAUGUUGAAAAAUUAGCGGAUGACUUGUGGCUGGGGGUGAAAGGCCAAUCAAACCGGGAGAUAGCUGGUUCUCCCCGAAAGCUAUUUAGGUAGCGCCUCGUGAAUUCAUCUCCGGGGGUAGAGCACUGUUUCGGCAAGGGGGUCAUCCCGACUUACCAACCCGAUGCAAACUGCGAAUACCGGAGAAUGUUAUCACGGGAGACACACGGCGGGUGCUAACGUCCGUCGUGAAGAGGGAAACAACCCAGACCGCCAGCUAAGGUCCCAAAGUCAUGGUUAAGUGGGAAACGAUGUGGGAAGGCCCAGACAGCCAGGAUGUUGGCUUAGAAGCAGCCAUCAUUUAAAGAAAGCGUAAUAGCUCACUGGUCGAGUCGGCCUGCGCGGAAGAUGUAACGGGGCUAAACCAUGCACCGAAGCUGCGGCAGCGACGCUUAUGCGUUGUUGGGUAGGGGAGCGUUCUGUAAGCCUGCGAAGGUGUGCUGUGAGGCAUGCUGGAGGUAUCAGAAGUGCGAAUGCUGACAUAAGUAACGAUAAAGCGGGUGAAAAGCCCGCUCGCCGGAAGACCAAGGGUUCCUGUCCAACGUUAAUCGGGGCAGGGUGAGUCGACCCCUAAGGCGAGGCCGAAAGGCGUAGUCGAUGGGAAACAGGUUAAUAUUCCUGUACUUGGUGUUACUGCGAAGGGGGGACGGAGAAGGCUAUGUUGGCCGGGCGACGGUUGUCCCGGUUUAAGCGUGUAGGCUGGUUUUCCAGGCAAAUCCGGAAAAUCAAGGCUGAGGCGUGAUGACGAGGCACUACGGUGCUGAAGCAACAAAUGCCCUGCUUCCAGGAAAAGCCUCUAAGCAUCAGGUAACAUCAAAUCGUACCCCAAACCGACACAGGUGGUCAGGUAGAGAAUACCAAGGCGCUUGAGAGAACUCGGGUGAAGGAACUAGGCAAAAUGGUGCCGUAACUUCGGGAGAAGGCACGCUGAUAUGUAGGUGAAGUCCCUCGCGGAUGGAGCUGAAAUCAGUCGAAGAUACCAGCUGGCUGCAACUGUUUAUUAAAAACACAGCACUGUGCAAACACGAAAGUGGACGUAUACGGUGUGACGCCUGCCCGGUGCCGGAAGGUUAAUUGAUGGGGUCAGCGCAAGCGAAGCUCUUGAUCGAAGCCCCGGUAAACGGCGGCCGUAACUAUAACGGUCCUAAGGUAGCGAAAUUCCUUGUCGGGUAAGUUCCGACCUGCACGAAUGGCGUAAUGAUGGCCAGGCUGUCUCCACCCGAGACUCAGUGAAAUUGAACUCGCUGUGAAGAUGCAGUGUACCCGCGGCAAGACGGAAAGACCCCGUGAACCUUUACUAUAGCUUGACACUGAACAUUGAGCCUUGAUGUGUAGGAUAGGUGGGAGGCUUUGAAGUGUGGACGCCAGUCUGCAUGGAGCCGGCCUUGAAAUACCACCCUUUAAUGUUUGAUGUUCUAACGUUGACCCGUGAUCCGGGUUGCGGACAGUGUCUGGUGGGUAGUUUGACUGGGGCGGUCUCCUCCUAAAGAGUAACGGAGGAGCACGAAGGUUGGCUAAUCCUGGUCGGACAUCAGGAGGUUAGUGCAAUGGCAUAAGCCAGCUUGACUGCGAGCGUGACGGCGCGAGCAGGUGCGAAAGCAGGUCAUAGUGAUCCGGUGGUUCUGAAUGGAAGGGCCAUCGCUCAACGGAUAAAAGGUACUCCGGGGAUAACAGGCUGAUACCGCCCAAGAGUUCAUAUCGACGGCGGUGUUUGGCACCUCGAUGUCGGCUCAUCACAUCCUGGGGCUGAAGUAGGUCCCAAGGGUAUGGCUGUUCGCCAUUUAAAGUGGUACGCGAGCUGGGUUUAGAACGUCGUGAGACAGUUCGGUCCCUAUCUGCCGUGGGCGCUGGAGAACUGAGGGGGGCUGCCCCUAGUACGAGAGGACCGGAGUGGACGCAUCACUGGUGUUCGGGUUGUCAUGCCAAUGGCACUGCCCGGUAGCUAAAUGCGGAAGAGAUAAGUGCUGAAAGCAUCUAAGCACGAAACUUGCCCCGAGAUGAGUUCUCCCUGACUCCUUGAGAGUCCUGAAGGAACGUUGAAGACGACGACGUUGAUAGGCCGGGUGUGUAAGCGCAGCGAUGCGUUGAGCUAACCGGUACUAAUGAACCGUGAGGCUUAACCU